UCAUUAAGCUCCUUGGUAAAUUUAAAUUUUUGUUUAUUCGUAGUGAUAGUACUGCCGUUAUUUGUUAGUACUGCCGUUAGUUUUUUUUUACAUAUUUAAAUAUUGUUUGGCGACUAUUGUGCAAUAAACACAGAGUCUGCUACUCUUGAAAUGACAUAAAGAAAAUUAUUCCAAAUUUAAUAGUAGAAAUUAUGUCAAGGGCUUUUGUUGUUGGUUUCAAUGUUUGGUUAGCAUUGGUUUCUUGCGUGCUGGGGUCGAAUCGUGACAGUCGUUAACGAAACGACAAUCGUUCGAACACAAAUUACGUGAGUCGAUAAUCGAAUGAACGAGUUGGGAUCAUAACAGUCGAAAGAAGACGUAUCGUAAUUGUAAUUUUGUUUAUCGAUUAUUUUUCUCAUCUUCUUCGUUUUUUUAAGUCACAAUAGAAUUUGAAGUGUCAAAAUAAACCGCAGAAAGUAACGAAAAUAUAAAAAGUUUAAAUGGAUCCGAGUAUUUUAUUUUAUUUAAGUUCCAGCGAUGAAGAAAAUAAUGAAAGAGUUGUGCGAAAACAACUUCGAGACAAAAGCAAUCCGCUAGCAUUAUCAAACAAUGCGUAAGUACUUUAUAUAUGACGAAAAAUAAGUAAUAAAAUAUCCUUCGCUUACAGGUUUAUCAAAAGGUUUCGCUUAAGCAAAGAAGCAUUUAAUUAUGUUUUAAAUAACAUAAAUAUAAAUUGCCAAGAGACAAAAGCUGUUCCGGCGGUGCUCCAACUGGCUGCGUGUCUCAGCCUACUCGCAAGUGGUGGCUAUCAGCAUGCAAUAGGCAUGACUAUUUGAUAGGAAUGUGCCAGAGCACUGUCUCGAAAUUAACGGGCAAUGUUUUGGAAAAAAUUGAAGCCAAAUUGUGUCCUAAACAUAUUAAAUUUGAGCCAGAUGAUUCGAGAAGGUGCAAAGAGUGGUUUGUUGAGAACUAUCAAAUUCCAGGAGUGGUUGGAUGCAUUGAUGGCACCCACAUUGGACUACAAAAGCCCACGGUCAACGAGCACAUGUAUUUCAACAGGAAGGGUUUUCAUAGCAUAAAUGCGAUGUUGAUUUGCGACCACACUACGAAAAUUCUCGCAAUAAACUGCCAAUAUGGGGGUGCAGCCCACGACUCAUUCAUAUGGAAGCAUUCAAACGAACGAAUGGUUAUGGAACAUCGUUUUUUGCACAAUAGGAGUCACAAUGCCUAGCUGCUAGGGGACCCUGGAUAUCCACUUGAGCCGUGGUGCAUAACACCGUACAGAAAUCCAUCGGACGGAUCAGGUGAAGCAAGGUUCAAUGAAAUUCAUUCCAAGGCACGGUGCAUCAUUGAACGAACUAAUGGUGUACUGAAAGGUCGGUGGAGAAUCUUAGAAUACAACAAAAGAGGAAGAUAUGAUCCUAUAAAAGUGGCUAGGCUUGCGAAUGUGUGUGCAGCGCUUCACAACAUUUGUAUAAAAUUUAAUGUGAGCUUUACAGCAACAAAUUCAGAGAGUCAAACCGCAUCUGACAUAGUGUCUGGAGAAGGCCAGUAUACUAGAAUCGGCCAAACAAUCAGAGAUCAAAUUAAAAUCUCGUUGAUGAACUCGACAUAACCAUCUUGUUUUCAUAUUGUACUAUUAUGCUUUUGAAGUAUAAUGCUAACCGACCUAAAUAAAAUAAAAUAAAUCGAAACACUAAUGGAUACUUAUUCAAAAUCAAUUUCAUUUAAUGCUUUUUUUUUACUCCAUUUAAAAACGUAAAAUUUAGUUAUUUUA
This is a long non-coding RNA of Anastrepha ludens (Mexican fruit fly), 1756 nucleotides long. RefSeq lists it as uncharacterized. The transcript has 4 exons. The record is from RefSeq and is a predicted model, not a curated record. Lineage: Eukaryota; Metazoa; Arthropoda; Insecta; Diptera; Tephritidae.